This 1414-nucleotide ribosomal RNA is filed under the name Bordetella sp. AU12461. Its description in RNAcentral is "bacterial SSU rRNA". It matches the Rfam family "Bacterial small subunit ribosomal RNA". Lineage: Bacteria; Pseudomonadati; Pseudomonadota; Betaproteobacteria; Burkholderiales; Alcaligenaceae. The record is from RNAcentral.
CACAUGCAAGUCGGACGGCAGCACGGGCUUCGGCCUGGUGGCGAGUGGCGAACGGGUGAGUAAUGUAUCGGAACGUGCCCAGUAGCGGGGGAUAACUACGCGAAAGCGUGGCUAAUACCGCAUACGCCCUACGGGGGAAAGCGGGGGACCUUCGGGCCUCGCACUAUUGGAGCGGCCGAUAUCGGAUUAGCUAGUUGGUGGGGUAACGGCCUACCAAGGCGACGAUCCGUAGCUGGUUUGAGAGGACGACCAGCCACACUGGGACUGAGACACGGCCCAGACUCCUACGGGAGGCAGCAGUGGGGAAUUUUGGACAAUGGGGGCAACCCUGAUCCAGCCAUCCCGCGUGUGCGAUGAAGGCCUUCGGGUUGUAAAGCACUUUUGGCAGGAAAGAAACGGCACGGGCUAAUAUCCUGUGCAACUGACGGUACCUGCAGAAUAAGCACCGGCUAACUACGUGCCAGCAGCCGCGGUAAUACGUAGGGUGCAAGCGUUAAUCGGAAUUACUGGGCGUAAAGCGUGCGCAGGCGGUUCGGAAAGAAAGAUGUGAAAUCCCAGGGCUUAACCUUGGAACUGCAUUUUUAACUACCGGGCUAGAGUGUGUCAGAGGGAGGUGGAAUUCCGCGUGUAGCAGUGAAAUGCGUAGAUAUGCGGAGGAACACCGAUGGCGAAGGCAGCCUCCUGGGAUAACACUGACGCUCAUGCACGAAAGCGUGGGGAGCAAACAGGAUUUAGAUACCCUGGUAGUCCACGCCCUAAACGAUGUCAACUAGCUGUUGGGGCCUUCGGGCCUUGGUAGCGCAGCUAACGCGUGAAGUUGACCGCCUGGGGAGUACGGUCGCAAGAUUAAAACUCAAAGGAAUUGACGGGGACCCGCACAAGCGGUGGAUGAUGUGGAUUAAUUCGAUGCAACGCGAAAAACCUUACCUACCCUUGACAUGUCUGGAAUCCCGAAGAGAUUUGGGAGUGCUCGCAAGAGAACCGGAACACAGGUGCUGCAUGGCUGUCGUCAGCUCGUGUCGUGAGAUGUUGGGUUAAGUCCCGCAACGAGCGCAACCCUUGUCAUUAGUUGCUACGAAAGGGCACUCUAAUGAGACUGCCGGUGACAAACCGGAGGAAGGUGGGGAUGACGUCAAGUCCUCAUGGCCCUUAUGGGUAGGGCUUCACACGUCAUACAAUGGUCGGGACAGAGGGUCGCCAACCCGCGAGGGGGAGCCAAUCCCAGAAACCCGAUCGUAGUCCGGAUCGCAGUCUGCAACUCGACUGCGUGAAGUCGGAAUCGCUAGUAAUCGCGGAUCAGCAUGUCGCGGUGAAUACGUUCCCGGGUCUUGUACACACCGCCCGUCACACCAUGGGAGUGGGUUUUACCAGAAGUAGUUAGCCUAACCGCAAGGGGGGCGAUACCACGGUAGAU